RNAcentral lists this ribosomal RNA (996 nucleotides) under human gut metagenome. RNAcentral's name for it is "bacterial LSU rRNA". It matches the Rfam family "Bacterial large subunit ribosomal RNA", at positions 1919 to 2925 of the family's 2925-position model. The record is from RNAcentral.
CCCAGUAAACGGCGGCCGUAACUAUAACGGUCCUAAGGUAGCGAAAUUCCUUGUCAGGUAAGUUCUGACCCGCACGAAAGGCGUAAUGAUUUGGGCACUGUCUCAACAGCCCGCCCGGCGAAAUUGUAGUACCGGUGAAGAUGCCGGUUACCCGCAACUAGACGGAAAGACCCCAUGGAGCUUUACUGCAGCUUAAUACUGAGAUUCGGUAAAUCAUGUACAGGAUAGGUGGGAGACUGAGAAGUACGGUCGUCAGGUCGUACGGAGUCACCCUUGGGAUACCACCCUUGGUUUGCUGAAUUUCUAACCUGCGGCCCUGAAUCGGGUCGGGGGACACUGUUAGGCGGGCAGUUUGACUGGGGCGGUCGCCUCCUAAAAUGUAACGGAGGCGCUCAAAGGUUGGCUCAGCAUGGAUGGAAACCAUGCAAUGAGUGUAAACGUAUAAGCCAGCCUGACUGCGAGACCGACGGGUCGAGCAGAGACGAAAGUCGGAGUUAGUGAUCCGGUGGUAUGUGAGUGGAAAUGCCAUCGCUCAACGGAUAAAAGCUACCCUGGGGAUAACAGGCUGAUCUCCCCCAAGCGUCCACAGCGACGGGGAGGUUUGGCACCUCGAUGUCGGCUCGUCGCAUCCUGGGGCUGAAUUAGGUCCCAAGGGUUUGGCUGUUCGCCAAUUAAAGCGGCACGCGAGCUGGGUUCAGAACGUCGUGAGACAGUUCGGUCCCUAUCUGUUGCGGGCGUAGGAGAUUUGAAGGGAGCUGACCUUAGUACGAGAGGACCGGGUUGGACGUACCUCUGGUGUACCAGUUGUUCUGCCAAGGGCAUGGCUGGGUAGCUACGUACGGACGAGAUAAACGCUGAAGGCAUCUAAGCGUGAAACUCUCCCUGAGAUAAGAUCUCCACUGAGGCUCGACGUAGACUAUGUCGUUGAUAGGUCAGAGGUGGAAGCACAGCAAUGUGUGCAGCUGACUGAUACUAAUAAGCCGAAAGCUUGACCAA